RNAcentral lists this small RNA (69 nucleotides) under Epilithonimonas lactis. RNAcentral describes it as "Chryseobacterium halperniae Flavo-1 RNA". It matches the Rfam family "Flavo-1 RNA". The record is from RNAcentral. Lineage: Bacteria; Pseudomonadati; Bacteroidota; Flavobacteriia; Flavobacteriales; Weeksellaceae.
CCCUAGCCCCGAUUGCAACGGAAAUCCUUUUUUGAAAAAAAAAGAUUGUAGUGGAAAGCGGGAAACAGC